AAGAAAGCAUUGAAGCCCACCACGCCAGCCGCCAAAGGGAAGCAGGAGAAAAUCCCCAAUUCCCCGUUGACCCAUUCUUCCCCGGCAACCUAGCUCGGCGACGGCGGCCGGCGGCCGGCGCGGGCGGGCGUUAAGUUCAAGCUAGCCUGCCAGCGGCAGGGCGUCGCUGUGCCGCGCUGCAGGGACGGCGCGGAAGCUGAAGCUAAGCGUAGACUGACGUCCGAACAGCACUAGGAUUAAGCCAUGUCCUCUUCGUCAUCUUUCCCCGGCCCCCGCUUCCCUGGCGCCGGCGCUGGAGCCUCUGGCGGGGGCGGAGGCGGAGGUGGUGGGAGCGGGAGCAGCGUGCGGCCCUGGGGAUCGAGCGGAGGGACGUCGGUCUCGUCGUCGGGGAAGCGGAUACAGAAGGAGCUGCUGGACCUCAACGCUUCCGACUGCUCCGCCGGUCCCAAGGGGGACAACCUCUACCACUGGCUCUCCACCAUCAUUGGACCCCAAGGGUCACCAUAUGAAGGAGGGAUAUUUUUCCUUGAUGUCGUUUUCCCACUUGAUUAUCCUUUCAAACCUCCUAUGGUGACUUUCAAAACAAGGAUUUACCACUGCAACGUUGAUUCCACUGGGGCAGUGAGUUUGGAAAUUUUGAAGGAUGGCUGGAGUCCAGCUUUAACUAUUUCAAAGGUGCUACUGGCGAUCAAAGCCAUCAUCACAAAUCCGGAUCCAUACAACCCACUUGUGGAGAGCAUUGCACGUUUGUACCUGACUGAUAGAGCUAAGCAUGAUGAAAUAGCUGCUGAAUGGACAUUGAGGUUUGCAAGAUAGGGAGUCCUUUCUGCAACUAAAUAAGGAAAUUUGACUCUGUAAAUGAAUAAUCUUGUAUGUAACCUGAGAUAUAUAACGUUGGAAAGGAUCCAAUACAUUAAUCUGAGUUGUGCCAUAAAGAUGUGUUUGCAUUAUUUUGAUGUUUAGUUGUGAAAUUGGCUUUAAUGGUUUACUUCUCAAAGUUAUCCCUAGCAAUUCUUAAGUUCAAUUCUGUGCCCACUUGAUUUGUUCAAAGGGAAAAGUUCCUGGUAGUAUGGAAGUUUCAGUGGCCAAAACACUGUUGUAUAUCAGUCAAACUACGAAAAGGCCUACGAGUCAAAUCUUUCACUUGAAACCAAAUUUUCGCUGGCUAUCAUUCCUAGGUUGUUGGGCAUGGCUUCAAUCAUACAUGAAUGAUGUUUAUUUCCAAAAC
Molecule: ribosomal RNA, 1228 nt
Filed under: Triticum aestivum (bread wheat)
Lineage: Eukaryota; Viridiplantae; Streptophyta; Magnoliopsida; Poales; Poaceae
Description: partial small subunit ribosomal RNA
Source: RNAcentral